Peromyscus maniculatus bairdii (prairie deer mouse) is the source of this 610-nucleotide non-coding RNA. The record is from RefSeq and is a predicted model, not a curated record. NCBI's taxonomy places the organism in Eukaryota, Metazoa, Chordata, Mammalia, Rodentia, Cricetidae.
CCUCUUUCUUUUCCCUUUUCAAAUUUCAUUCAUCUCUGCCUCCUGAGCGUUAGCAAAUGCUUGCUCGCACUCUGAAAGUUGCACUUUCACUUUCACUUUAUCAGUCAGAAGAACAUCUUUCCCAAUCUGGAAUAUUCAGACCUCCUCCUGUCAGAAACCAAGGACUUUCUUCAGCUCUGGUGUCCACAAAUGAUUCCUGGAUUUUUACUAACGUGACUAGAAAGGAAACCUGAUGGUGGGAUAAUCCAUGGCUAUGAAACAGCAGUAGCUGAUAUGACCAGAAAACAAAGCUGGACACAUGGCUCAGGAAUAAGAGCACAUAUUGUUCUUGCAGAAGACCUGAGUACAGUAAGAAGCACCUAGUUUGGAUGGCUCAUGACAACUUGUAUCUCCAGUCCCAGGGUAUCUGAUAAUAUUAUAAUAAUUCUGAAUAUAUAUCUAUUAUUUAACCAGGAAUUUCCAUGUUACAAAAGAAGAAAAUAGAUGUUUACUGUAUUUUUAAUUUUUUUAUUGUGUUAUUGUAAAUAUGGGCUUUUUGAGGUAUUUAUGAGCCAGGACAUGUAUAUGGAAGGCAGAGAAGAACAAUUCUAAUUAAAUAUUGUAUUGUUUA